AUUGAACGCUAGCGGCAUGCUUAACACAUGCAAGUCGAACGGUAACAGGCCUUGCUUGCUGGGUGCUGACGAGUGGCGGACGGGUGAGUAACGCGUAGGAAUCUGCCCUGUAGUGGAGAAUAACUUGGGGAAACUCAAGCUAAUACUGCAUAUGUCCUACGGGAUAAAGCAUGGGACCUUCGGGCCAUGCGCUAUGGGAUGAGCCUGCGUCAGAUUAGCUAGUUGGUGGGGUAAAGGCCUACCAAGGCGAUGAUCUGUAGCUGUUCUGAGAGGAAGAUCAGCCACACUGGGACUGAGACACGGCCCAGACUCCUACGGGAGGCAGCAGUGGGGAAUAUUGGACAAUGGGGGCAACCCUGAUCCAGCAAUGCCGCGUGUGUGAAGAAGGCCUGCGGGUUGUAAAGCACUUUCAGUGGGGAGGAAUGGCUUAAGUUUAAUAAACUUGAGAGAUGACGCUACCCACAGAAGAAGCACCGGCUAACUCUGUGCCAGCCGCCGCGGUAA
RNAcentral lists this ribosomal RNA (504 nucleotides) under uncultured bacterium. Its description in RNAcentral is "partial 16S ribosomal RNA". It matches the Rfam family "Bacterial small subunit ribosomal RNA", at positions 30 to 523 of the family's 1533-position model. The record is from RNAcentral.